Molecule: transfer RNA, 61 nt
Filed under: Marmota marmota marmota (Alpine marmot)
Lineage: Eukaryota; Metazoa; Chordata; Mammalia; Rodentia; Sciuridae
Also listed under: 2 other names
Rfam family: tRNA
About the family: Transfer RNA (tRNA) molecules are approximately 80 nucleotides in length. Their secondary structure includes four short double-helical elements and three loops (D, anti-codon, and T loops). Further hydrogen bonds mediate the characteristic L-shaped molecular structure. tRNAs have two regions of fundamental functional importance: the anti-codon, which is responsible for specific mRNA codon recognition, and the 3' end, to which the tRNAs corresponding amino acid is attached (by aminoacyl-tRNA synthetases). tRNAs cope with the degeneracy of the genetic code in two manners: having more than one tRNA (with a specific anti-codon) for a particular amino acid; and 'wobble' base-pairing, i.e. permitting non-standard base-pairing at the 3rd anti-codon position.
Source: Rfam by way of RNAcentral
UGUGGCUCAGCAGUAGAGCACAUGCCUUGCAUGUGUGAGGCACUGGGUUCGAUCCUCAGCA